GACGAACGCUGGCGGCGUGCUUAACACAUGCAAGUCGAACGAUGAAGAAAAGAAUUGAAGCUUCGGCAGAAAUUCAUUUCGGAUUAGUGGCAGACGGGUGAGUAACGCGUGAGCAACCUACCUCUUACAAAGGGAUAGCCUCGGGAAACCGGGAUUAAUACCAUAUAACAUUGCGACGAAGCAUUUCGAUGCAAUCAAAGCUACGGCGGUAAGAGAUGGGCUCGCGUCCCAUUAACCAGAUGGUGAGGUAACGGCUCACCAUAGUAACGAUGGGUAACCGGCCUGAGAGGGUGAACGGUCACACUGGAACUGAGACACGGUCCAGACUCCUACGGGAGGCAGCAGUGGGGAAUAUUGCACAAUGGAGGGAACUCAGAUGCAGCGACGCCGCGUGAGUGAUGAAGGAAUUCGUUUCGUAAAACUCUGUUCUAUGGGAAGAAAAGGACUGUACCAUAGGAGAAAGCUCCGGCUAAAUACGUG
RNAcentral lists this ribosomal RNA (480 nucleotides) under uncultured bacterium. RNAcentral's name for it is "partial 16S ribosomal RNA". It matches the Rfam family "Bacterial small subunit ribosomal RNA", at positions 28 to 507 of the family's 1533-position model. The record is from RNAcentral.